This is a long non-coding RNA of Carcharodon carcharias (great white shark), 128 nucleotides long. RefSeq lists it as uncharacterized. The transcript is spliced from 3 exons. The record is from RefSeq and is a predicted model, not a curated record. Lineage: Eukaryota; Metazoa; Chordata; Chondrichthyes; Lamniformes; Lamnidae.
AUUUGUAUGUCUCGUAGAAACUAUUGGUGCCUCCUUAUUUUCGUUGCCUGAAGCACUUAUGUUUGGCAUAUCAACCUUCCGUCAUCUUUUACUUUUCCAUUUUCCUCUGUGAGUUAGGGAUCUGAUAG